CCUACGGGAGGCUGCAGUGAGGAAUAUUGGUCAAUGGACGCAAGUCUGAACCAGCCAUGCCGCGUGCAGGAAGACGGCUCUAUGAGUUGUAAACUGCUUUUGUACGAGGGUAAACGCAGAUACGCGUAUCUUUCUGAAAGUAUCGUACGAAUAAGGAUCGGCUAACUCCGUGCCAGCAGCCGCGGUACUACGGAGGAUUCAAGCGUUAUCCGGAUUUAUUGGGUUUAAAGGGUGCGUAGGCGGGCGGAUAAGUUAGAUGUGAAAUCCCGAGGCUCAACUUGGGCAUUGCCUCUGAUACUGUUCGGCUAGAGAGUAGUAGCGGUAGGCGGAAUGUAAGGUGUAGCGGUGAAAUGCAUAGAUAUCACGCAGAACCCCGAUUGCGAAGGCAGCAGGCCGGCUUCCGACUGACGCUGAAGCACGAAAGCGUGGGGAUCGAACAGGAUUAGAUACCCUGGUAGUC
Molecule: ribosomal RNA, 460 nt
Filed under: uncultured bacterium
Lineage: Bacteria
Description: partial 16S ribosomal RNA
Rfam family: Bacterial small subunit ribosomal RNA
Source: RNAcentral